RNAcentral lists this ribosomal RNA (253 nucleotides) under uncultured bacterium. RNAcentral describes it as "partial 16S ribosomal RNA". It matches the Rfam family "Bacterial small subunit ribosomal RNA", at positions 524 to 776 of the family's 1533-position model. The record is from RNAcentral.
GACGUAGGGCGCGAGCGUUGUCCGGAUUUAUUGGGCGUAAAGAGCUCGUAGGCGGCUUGUUGCGUCGGCUGUGAAAUCCCAUGGCUCAACUGUGGGCUUGCAGCCGAUACGGGCGGGCUAGAGUUCGGUAGGGGAGACUGGAAUUCCUGGUGUAGCGGUGAAAUGCGCAGAUAUCAGGAAGAACACCAAUGGCGAAAGCAGCUUUCUGGGACGGUACUGACGCUGAGACGCGAAAGCGUGGGGAGCGAACAGG